This 76-nucleotide transfer RNA is filed under the name Legionellales bacterium. RNAcentral's name for it is "tRNA-Thr". It matches the Rfam family "tRNA". From Rfam's summary of the family: Transfer RNA (tRNA) molecules are approximately 80 nucleotides in length. Their secondary structure includes four short double-helical elements and three loops (D, anti-codon, and T loops). Lineage: Bacteria; Pseudomonadati; Pseudomonadota; Gammaproteobacteria; Legionellales. The record is from RNAcentral.
GCUGGCAUAGCUCAGUUGGUAGAGCAGUUGAUUUGUAAUCAUCAGGUCGCGAGUUCGAAUCUUGCUGCCAGCACCA